GAUGAACGCUGGCGGCGUGCUUAACACAUGCAAGUCGAACGAAGCACUUUAUUUUAUUUCCUUCGGGACUGAUUAUUUUGUGACUGAGUGGCGGACGGGUGAGUAACGCGUGGGUAACCUGCCUUGUACAGGGGGAUAAUAGCUGGAAACGGCUGCUAAUACCGCAUAAGCGCCCUGCAUCGCAUGAUUCAGUGUGAAAAACUCCGGUGGUAUAAGAUGGACCCGCGUUGCAUUAGCUAGUUGGUGAGGUAACGGCCCACCAAGGCGACGAUCCAUAGCCUAGAAGAGAGGCUGAGCGGAGACACUGAGACUGAGCAGCGGCCGAGACUCUUGCGGGAAGCAGCAGUGGGGAAUACUGCACAAUGGGCGGAAGGCUGAUGGAGCUACGACGGGAGAGCGAAGAAGUAUGGCAGUAUGGAAAGUUAUAUCAUCACUGAAUAUAUUGACGUUACCAGACUAAGAAGCACCGGCUAACUACGUG
Molecule: ribosomal RNA, 481 nt
Filed under: uncultured bacterium
Lineage: Bacteria
Description: partial 16S ribosomal RNA
Rfam family: Bacterial small subunit ribosomal RNA
Source: RNAcentral